Non-coding RNA from Myotis brandtii (Brandt's bat), 75 nucleotides. The record is from Rfam. NCBI's taxonomy places the organism in Eukaryota, Metazoa, Chordata, Mammalia, Chiroptera, Vespertilionidae.
GGUGGUUCUCAGGUGAUGCACCCCAGAAUCGGGCUCCCUCCUCUCUGUUUCUGGGUGCGUCACCUGAGAAGCGCA